Molecule: non-coding RNA, 1649 nt
Organism: Coffea arabica (coffee)
Lineage: Eukaryota; Viridiplantae; Streptophyta; Magnoliopsida; Gentianales; Rubiaceae
Source: RefSeq, a predicted model, not a curated record
GAGGGGGGGUUCGGUGACGGCUAGGUUUUAGAAAAGCUGCGGGGAAAAUCUGAUGAGGGGGCUGAGAAGAAAGUGAAAAAACCAGAGAAAGGGAAACGGCUUGGAAAGAGGGAAUGACGGCUGAGGGAGAGUUGGAGAGAGAGGACGUCUGAAAAUCUUGAGGGAGGAAAAGAGUGAACAGCAAGAGGGUUCUGGGCAAGAGAGCUUCGGUCAGGAAAAAAGAGAGAAAAGGAAAAAACUGAGCGAGAGAAACUGAGAAGGAAAACCGAGAGAGAAAGCUGGAGAGGAGGAAGGAGAUCUGAACCAGAAAGGAAAGCUUCGGCAAGAAAAUCAGAAAAGGAAAAACGCAGGGAGUUCCUCUGCGAAACCUGCAACAAGGCUGAUCUUUCAGCCUGCCUUCGCAAGGAUUUUCUCCCCCGACCCAGCUUUAUUCGUGAAGCCAUCAAUUUCUGCUCAAUCUACAAAGUGAAAGGAACGAUUUUUGUUCAGACAUCUUGAAGGAAAAACAACUGCAAGAUCACCGAAUCUGUCUGUGAAAGAGCUGCCCUGACCCUACCGCACCAGUUUCGACUUCGAACGAAAGCGCAGCAGAAACUCUUGCUUCGGCCCCAGCAAUUCAGGGCUCCAAUUCAAGGGAGGAAUAAUGAAUCAAUCACCAAAGGAGGUCAAUUGAGGAGAAAAAUAGAGAUUUGGUGAUGAAUUUAAGUGGCAACAAGAAGAAUGAAGUGAAAAACGUUCAAGUGAGGAAAUGCAAUACAAGUCAGUUUUGACACUUUUCAGUAUUUUGACCAUAUCUGGAGCUACACUUAUCGGAUUGAGGUGAUUUUUAUACCAUUUUAAAGCUAAGAAAGAGACCUACAAUUCGUAUGAAGACAUCGAAAUCCAUUUCUGCCAUCUUCAUGGGCAAAACGUUGGAAUACAGAAGCUGCACCCUGUGGUCGGAAGUUAAAACAGAGGUUUGAACAGGUAACAGUAUUUCGAUCAUAUCUCAGGCUACAAAGCUCCGAUUUGGAUGAUUCUUGAAGCAUUGGAAAGCUAACUCAAAGGGCUACAACUUUUGUGUUUUGCACAAAAGCUAGUUCGGCCUUUAUGAUAGGGAAAAUCGCAGAUGAAGUAAGGCCAAAGUGAAUACGCGAGUACACAAAACGUGACUUGUAACCGCGUUUUGUGUAGGCGCGUUUUAUAGCCGAAAUUCUGCAAUUUGACUCAGCCAAUUCUCUUGUGUUCAUACCACUUUCCAGCUAUAAGAUGCAAGGGAAUUCGGUGCACAUGCUUCAGAAGACAAAAGGGCAAGAAAAGUGGCUUAUUUUCAAGUCAAAAAUAUUGGUUUUUGACUAUGCUAACAAAGUGGAGAUUUGGGAAUCAAAGGAUAGAUUUUGACUUGGAAAAAUGGAGCAUUUGAGUGUUUUUUAUGCAGAGAUAUGGGGAGAGAUCUGGGAACGAUUCGUAGCUUAGUUUCUUACAGAAAAACAUAUUCUCUCUACCUAGGACUUGCAAGGGGCAAUUGGGAUUUCAUCUUGUAAUCAUCUAAGUUCAAGACAAAGGAGAUUUUUGGAAGGCUUCACCAUAUCUUGGCUAAGACUUUCUUUACUCUGUUUGUAUUUGUAAUUCAUGAUGAUUUACAUUAAUGAAGUUAUGAGUGUUUUAUC